UGGCGGACGGGGGAGUAACGCGUGGGUAACCUGCCCUGUACAGGGGGAGUAACAGUUGGAAACGGCUGCUAAUACCGCAUAAGCGCACGAGAGGACAUCCUCUUGUGUGAAAAACUCCGGUGGUACAGGAUGGGCCCGCGUCUGAUUAGCUGGUUGGCAGGGUAACGGCCUACCAAGGCGACGAUCAGUAGCCGGUCUGAGAGGAUGAACGGCCACAUUGGGACUGAGACACGGUCCAA
RNAcentral lists this ribosomal RNA (239 nucleotides) under uncultured bacterium. RNAcentral describes it as "partial 16S ribosomal RNA". It matches the Rfam family "Bacterial small subunit ribosomal RNA", at positions 96 to 334 of the family's 1533-position model. The record is from RNAcentral.